RNAcentral lists this ribosomal RNA (244 nucleotides) under uncultured Comamonadaceae bacterium. Its description in RNAcentral is "partial 16S ribosomal RNA". It matches the Rfam family "Bacterial small subunit ribosomal RNA", at positions 92 to 339 of the family's 1533-position model. Lineage: Bacteria; Pseudomonadati; Pseudomonadota; Betaproteobacteria; Burkholderiales; Comamonadaceae. The record is from RNAcentral.
CGAGUGGCGAACGGGUGAGUAAUGCAUCGGAACGUGCCCAAUCGUGGGGGAUAACGCAGCGAAAGCUGUGCUAAUACCGCAUACGAUCUACGGAUGAAAGCGGGGGAUCGCAAGACCUCGCGCGAUUGGAGCGGCCGAUAUCAGAUUAGGUUGUUGGUGAGGUAAAAGCUCACCAAGCCGACGAUCUGUAGCUGGUCUGAGAGGACGACCAGCCACACUGGAACUGAGACACGGUCCAGACUCC